GCGACUGUGGUUCAGUGGUAGAAUUGGAGCUUGCCAAGCUUCGGACUCGGGUUCGAUUCCCGGCAGUCGCA
Molecule: transfer RNA, 71 nt
Filed under: archaeon
Lineage: Archaea
Also listed under: 1 other name
Description: tRNA-Gly
Rfam family: tRNA
About the family: Transfer RNA (tRNA) molecules are approximately 80 nucleotides in length. Their secondary structure includes four short double-helical elements and three loops (D, anti-codon, and T loops).
Source: RNAcentral